Molecule: transfer RNA, 72 nt
Filed under: Puccinia coronata f. sp. avenae
Lineage: Eukaryota; Fungi; Basidiomycota; Pucciniomycetes; Pucciniales; Pucciniaceae
Description: Puccinia coronata var. avenae f. sp. avenae partial tRNA-Pro
Source: RNAcentral
GCGUCCUUGGUACAGUGUUUAGUAUGCUUGACAUGGAUAUAAGUGACGUGGGUUCAGCUCCCACAGGACAAA